Molecule: ribosomal RNA, 390 nt
Filed under: uncultured bacterium
Lineage: Bacteria
Description: bacterial SSU rRNA
Rfam family: Bacterial small subunit ribosomal RNA
Source: RNAcentral
GACGAACGCUGGCGGCGUGCUUAACACAUGCAAGUCGAGCGGUAAGGCCCUUUCGGGGGUACACGAGCGGCGAACGGGUGAGUAACACGUGGGUGACCUGCCCUCAGCUCUGGGAUAAGCCUGGGAAACCGGGUCUAAUACCGGAUAUGACUCCAUGACGCAUGUUGUGGGGUGGAAAGCCUUGUGCGGCUGGGGAUGGGCCCGCGGCCUAUCAGCUUGUUGGUGGGGUGAUGGCCACCAAGGCGACGACGGGUAGCCGGCCUGAGAGGGCGACCGGCCACACUGGGACUGAGACACGGCCCAGACUCCUACGGGAGGCAGCAGUGGGGAAUCUUGCGCAAUGGGCGAAAGCCUGACGCAGCGACGCCGCGUGAGGGAUGACGGCCUCGG